This 457-nucleotide long non-coding RNA is filed under the name Monodelphis domestica (gray short-tailed opossum). Its description in RNAcentral is "lncRNA (ENSMODG00000050325.1)". Lineage: Eukaryota; Metazoa; Chordata; Mammalia; Didelphimorphia; Didelphidae. The record is from RNAcentral.
UUGCGAGGAAACUUGAAAGGAAUUAUAUGAAUGAGUUGGAGAACAUAUCACUUAAAUAUUGACAAAAUUGUAACCUUUAAACAGCAGUAAUUUGGAAAUCUAAUGGGCUAUAAUAGAAUACUUUUCUCUGAAUUGUCCUGGGUUGGGAGUGAUCAGUCUUAAAUGAUCAUGAAGAGAGCAAAGGGGUAUCAGCACCACUGUUGAAAUGGCAUGAAAAUCACACUAGGUAUGAAAGAGCUGAAUUGGGGUCUGCUUAUGUGAGAGAAACUAGGGGAACCUUUAGAGGGAGAAGUAAAAUACCCAAAGCCUCUGAUCUCAGCAGUAGGAUGUAUGCUACAAAAAUAUUCUUGGAAAAUUAAAUGGAAGAGCAGUCAUUUUAAUCUCGGGGAAUCAAGAUUUUGUAGCUGGAGAGAGUGAAGUCAGGAGCAGUAGUACCAGUGACAGCAAUGAGAAUCCG